Molecule: long non-coding RNA, 290 nt
Filed under: Vulpes vulpes (red fox)
Lineage: Eukaryota; Metazoa; Chordata; Mammalia; Carnivora; Canidae
Description: lncRNA (ENSVVUG00000024660.1)
Source: RNAcentral
CCAACAUAUAGUAUAAUAUCCAGGGCUCAUCCCAUCAAGUUCUAGGAGGGGAUUUAAAGGGAAGAAGGUCCAUACAGACACAGUAUCAACUCUGCUGUCAUUGCCCCUCAUGUUUCAUCCAACAAACCUCUCCUAUUAUUUCCAGAGACCUCACUAUCCUUCUGUCACCACCUUGGCUUUCACAUAUUUGUUUCCUGAUUACCCUUUUGUGCUCUGGUGAUGGACAGGUGAGUGAUUGUACAGUACACCUCCUGGUAUGUUUGGUGAAGAUGUCUAUUAGGAUUUGCUGA